Molecule: ribosomal RNA, 435 nt
Filed under: uncultured bacterium
Lineage: Bacteria
Description: partial 16S ribosomal RNA
Rfam family: Bacterial small subunit ribosomal RNA
Source: RNAcentral
AGCGAACGCUGGCGGCAGGCUUAACACAUGCAAGUCGAACGGGCAUAGCAAUAUGUCAGUGGCAGACGGGUGAGUAACGCGUGGGAACGUACCUUUUGGUUCGGAACAACACAGGGAAACUUGUGCUAAUACCGGAUAAGCCCUUACGGGGAAAGAUUUAUCGCCGAAAGAUCGGCCCGCGUCUGAUUAGCUAGUUGGUAGGGUAAUGGCCUACCAAGGCGACGAUCAGUAGCUGGUCUGAGAGGAUGAUCAGCCUCAUUGGGACUGAGACACGGCCCAAACUCCUACGGGAGGCAGCAGUGGGGAAUAUUGGACAAUGGGCGAAAGCCUGAUCCAGCCAUGCCGCGUGAGUGAUGAAGGCCCUAGGGUUGUAAAGCUCUUUUGUGCGGGAAGAUAAUGACGGUACCGCAAGAAUAAGCCCCGGCUAACUUCGUG